CCAAAGUUUUUUGAAUCACAAUCCUCAUGACUUUAAAAAUUUCCUAAUCCAAACUAUACAUAAAAUAGGAAAUGUAAAUGUUAAUCUUUCCCAUAACAAUCCCAAAAUUCUACUUAGAAAAAGAAGCUCUUAAAAAUUUGUGCAAACAUUAUAAGCAAAAAAAACAAUUGACAUUUUGAGACUUGAUAAACUAUUAAACUAACUAGAUAUAAUUUAAAUGUACCUAUAUUAGAUGGUUGCAUUGUGUGGAUCUCAUAUUCGAGAUCUUCUAAUAUCUUUUGUAUAAUAUCUACAUUGCAAAGCCUUUGUUAGAUCAAAGAUGAUCAUCUUUUGGGCACGUUUGGGCCGCGGGUGCGAUGCGUGAAGCGGAACCAAUAAUUUUUUUUAAAAAAAAGAGGGAAGGAACGUGGCCGUAUGAAAACAAUAUUUGAAUUUUUAGUCCCAUAUCAAAAAAAUAUAAAAUUCUCCUCCCUGCCUACACCUAUAAAUAAAGCCUAAUACCUCUAUUCAUAGAUAUCUCUCCACUCUAUAAUUCUUGUAGGGGAUCUGUGUGAUAGGCAGGCAUACCCACCUUUUAAACUUUUUCGUCAUUUUUUUUUCACUUUCUUUCACUCUUCCAACACACGAGAAGAAGAGUCAGUCAGAGGGAGGUUGGUCUCAGAUCAAGAGAGGGAGAGAAAUCUAGUUCUGUAAGAAAUUUUAUUUUUUUAUAUUCUAACUUUAAGUCUUGUUAAUGGCUUAGGAGUUGAAAAUUUUUUGUAUCAAAAUUUUUAUUCAGUAAUAAAUUAGUUAUUUUUUUCUAUUUAAUUUUUAUAAUUUUAAUUUCUGCAAUAGGAUAGUUUAAAUUCCUGCAUCUUUUAAUUUUAUAAUUUUUAAUUUUCAUAAGUUCAAUUCCAGCAAGU
Molecule: long non-coding RNA, 902 nt
Filed under: Elaeis guineensis (African oil palm)
Lineage: Eukaryota; Viridiplantae; Streptophyta; Magnoliopsida; Arecales; Arecaceae
Description: long non-coding RNA (EGUI_LNC009828)
Source: RNAcentral